Molecule: long non-coding RNA, 431 nt
Organism: Aquila chrysaetos chrysaetos
Lineage: Eukaryota; Metazoa; Chordata; Aves; Accipitriformes; Accipitridae
Exons: 3
Source: RefSeq, a predicted model, not a curated record
CCUGGGACUCCCUGGUGUAUGGAGUGUUUCAGGCCCUGGAGGAGUUGAGCAAGCUGAGGCCGCCUCUGAGCAGGAAGGAAAAUCGCAACCUGCUGGCAGUGUGCUGCCAGAGUGUUUUGUCCCAUCCUUCCAAGGAGCGGAUGAAAAAGGGAAGGAAGAGCGUGAGGGCGGCCGUGAACAUGGAGGUACCCACCGGCCAGUGCCUGCCCACCUCUGGGUCAGGACCCCACCUCAGCACGCCCUGGCAGCCCCCAUGAUGCAUAACCUCAGCUCUCCUUUGCUGCUUUUAGCUUCUGCACAGGAGAGGCAUGGAAGAUCUGGGCCACCUGAUAGAAACCCUUCUGGAGGCUGAGGCGACCUCUGCCUGCUUUGACGACGUGGUCCACAGAGGAUGUCCCUGCAAGCAGUUGGGCUCCCUGGUGGGACUGCUG